RNAcentral lists this long non-coding RNA (818 nucleotides) under Gossypium barbadense (sea-island cotton). RNAcentral's name for it is "long non-coding RNA (GBAR_LNC021874)". The record is from RNAcentral. Lineage: Eukaryota; Viridiplantae; Streptophyta; Magnoliopsida; Malvales; Malvaceae.
AGCACCACCAGAUGCCAAGUUCCCUGCAAACCAUUUCCAGUAGCCAUCUCUGUCCUUCUUGAAGUUGAACAUCCUCUUGAAAUAAUCCUUGAAGGCAAAGUUCAAAGCCUGGCACAAAUACAAGUUAAGCUUUAAGAGGAAAAAAUAAAACAAGGGGAAAGAGAACAAAAAGAUAAGUCCUUUGACCAAACUGACAUAGUAAAUACUAAAUCACACAUAUAGCAAUGUUGUCAAGAGCACAAAGUGCAUCCAUGCAUUAGAACCCCUAAAUUACUUGAACGCAUGACAUAAGAUCAAUAACCUGAGUGAUAUAAGACACGACAGGUAUAUGUGCGUGUAUUUUUAUGUAUCUAAAAAGUGGUCCAAAUUAUCUUACAAAACAUUGCAAAAUUUUUGCUUCCUUUGUUGAUCAAUAUGCAUGUUUUCCUUAUAACCCCAUGCUUGUUGAAUCCUCAAAAAUUCAAAAGCAGAAAGUUCAACAUCAUCCCUUUUCUCACUAGUAAAAAUACAGCUAAGGAUAAACAAAAACUUAAAAGGAAACUUAAUUAUGCAUAUGGCCUUAGAAAAAAAGGCAUGACCAAGUGCACCUUGCUUAAAAAUUAUCUAGAACACUUUGUUGUCUGGUGCUAAGAUCCAAUGCUUAGGCACUAGGUGCACACCUCAACAACAAUAUAGUUACAUGUGCCUCAAAAGCCUCAAUUUUUUGGGUUCGUUUCCUGCUCUCCCAACAAGAGGUGCACUGAGAUAGCAGAUAGCCAAGGGAUAUAACAGAAAACUCAGUAAAAGCAAAACUAAUAAAACACUUUAAAAGGGAUUCC